This 29-nucleotide non-coding RNA is filed under the name Rattus norvegicus (Norway rat). The record is from RNAcentral. Lineage: Eukaryota; Metazoa; Chordata; Mammalia; Rodentia; Muridae.
ACCAAUGACAAAGGGACAGUACCUGCCGA